GAUGAACGCUGGCGGCGUGCCUAAUACAUGCGAGUCGAGCGAACAGACGAGGAGCUUGCUCCUCUGACGUUAGCGGCGGACGGGUGAGUAACACGUGGAUAACCUACCUAUAAGACUGGGAUAUCUUCGGGAAACCGGAGCUAAUACCGGAUAAUAUAUUGAACCGCAUGGUUCAAUAGUGAAAGACGGUUUUGCUGUCACUUAUAGAUGGAUCCGCGCCGCAUUAGCUAGUUGGUAAGGUAACGGCUUACCAAGGCAACGAUGCGUAGCCGACCUGAGAGGGUGAUCGGCCACACUGGAACUGAGACACGGUCCAGACUCCUACGGGAGGCAGCAGUAGGGAAUCUUCCGCAAUGGGCGAAAGCCUGACGGAGCAACGCCGCGUGAGUGAUGAAGGUCUUCGGAUCGUAAAACUCUGUUAUUAGGGAAGAACAAAUGUGUAAGUAACUAUGCACGUCUUGACGGUACCUAAUCAGAAAGCCACGGCUAACUACGUG
This 497-nucleotide ribosomal RNA is filed under the name uncultured bacterium. RNAcentral describes it as "partial 16S ribosomal RNA". It matches the Rfam family "Bacterial small subunit ribosomal RNA", at positions 28 to 507 of the family's 1533-position model. The record is from RNAcentral.